UUCACCUCUCCCAAAACAAACUAACCUUCAACUAAACCUGCUCCGGACCAGGUUACGUUCAGAGCAUAUGUUACACGGUUCAAAAUGAUGGGCCAACUCACUCUCUGUGCAACAUGUUUAAUUUUGAAAAAAAAAAAACCCGCAAAAUAUACAAAAUCACAGUCAAAAAGAGCGCACUUCGUCAUAUAUUCUGCUGACUCACCAAUUCCUGACUUGGCUUCUUCUGCUGGUCAGCUACUGACGUAUACGCAUAACUCUGCACGAUUAACACAUACAACACAACUUCUGCACUGUUUCAUACAGAUUACAUAACUUUUAAGAGUAAACAAAAAUUCCAAAAUGCAUUUCACUCCAUUGGCAGACACUUAAACUCCUAACAUAAGAACUUGCGUUUUUUUCCACACAACUAAAACGACCGUAAGCAUAUUACAAAAUCUUGUGAUAAAUUCAAACUCCUGUACCUGCUCAGUGACUGCAUUAAACACUGGUAUAACUCCGCAUAUGCGUUAGUAGUGAUGGGACGAGCGACACUGGUGCAUCAGCACAGUGCCGAGAGCUCAAGAGGGAAACCUCGUAUCGGUGCGUGUAUUGCUUUAAGAAAGAAUCACGUGACCGAUACAGGAACUGUAUCGUUUGGAUGUGCCGCGCCAAAGUGUGUUUAUCAGGAAAACUGUAUCAACAUGUCGUGGGUUUGUCGGAUGGAGUUUUGCUUGAUCAAUGAUCGUCCUAGGAAGUUUUCCCCGGUGUGGAAUAAUUUUGAUCUUGUGACGCCAAACAAGGUAAAUCUUUUUCUCCUUUAUAUACUAUUUUUUAAGGUGGCGCAUUGGAUUCACUCACUUUAUCAGUUUAUCAAGUGAAUGACCUGUGAUACAUAUGAUAGUCAGUUAAGAGCCUUACAGUUGCUUUAUUCAGGUUAUCAUGUAAUUAUGAGAUCCUGAUCUCGUAAUCAUGAGAUAGGCUGUCUAUUUUUUUAAUGCAAUGUUCUGGUAAGAGGUUUGAAUUGUUUUCAGAUAAAUUAACUUUUUAUGUUAUUGAAGGUGAAAUGUCGGCUCUGCUCCACCGAGCUAUCUUAUAUCAAUAAGAGCACUUCAUCAAUGCUGAGGCAUUAUAGAGCUCGGCAUGGCAAUGAAGAAUUGGCAACUACUCGUGAGAGUACCCCAGUUCCUAACAAGCAAGCAGUGGAUAAGGCAGUGGUCAAUAUGAUCAUCAAAGACUGUCAGCCACUCAGCUUUGUUGAAAAUGAGGGCACAAUCUCUGGAAAACGUUAGAUAUGGAGGUUGCAGAGACCUAGAAGACGAGGAACGUAACAGCUGAUUCCAUUAUUGAAGUCCAACGGUACCUGGCAGAAACAAACACACCCAGAAACCAAGAUUCUUUGCAAUAUUGGAAAUUGAUGCAGGAAAUAUACCCACAUCUUCAUCAACUUGCACUUAAAACUCUCUGCUCACCAUCAUCGUCUGUUCCAUGCAAAAGAGUAUUUUCCAAGGCUGGGGAGCUGGUGUGUAAGAGGAGCAAAGAGACUCC
Non-coding RNA from Oryzias latipes (Japanese medaka), 1524 nucleotides. Lineage: Eukaryota; Metazoa; Chordata; Actinopteri; Beloniformes; Adrianichthyidae. The record is from RefSeq and is a predicted model, not a curated record.